AAUAACUGAUUGCCAUGAGAGAAACACCAAAUAAUGUGCUUCGCAAAUUUGAAGGAGGGAGAGACCUGGCUGAAGGGACCGGAAGGUACGUGGAGGAGGCAAGCUUUGAGCUGAAUCUUCUUGGAAGAGAGGUCGAGGACUUGUACAGGCAGAAAUAAGAGGAAGGCAGACUACCCAGGAAAACUCUGAGACUCAGAUGUAGAGACCAGGGAGUGAAAGUAGUUUAAUUUGCUGAGCAUUACAGGAUCCCUGAAGGCGAAGAAUGGAAGAAAAUGUUACAAAGUAGACUGCGACCAGAUCAGAGAAGACCUUGAGAAUUUGAUCUGAAUCUGGUAGAAAAUAGAGAACCGUCACACGUUUUCAGGCAGAGGAACAAAAUCAGAGCUUGCUCUAGAAAGAUUAAGAACAAGCAUAAAAUAGAUUAGAGGGAAGGCGUACAGACUUAAGAGGGAUCACUUAAGAAUUACUUCACUAGUUCAGGGAAGAGCCCGAAAGCAGGGGACCCACCACACACAUGCUCCACAUGUGCAGAGCCUAGACGUGCACACACAGGCAGAUGACCUCCGUCAGCAGCUACGCGACAGUCACCCAGGAAAUGUGACGCGGCUUCUAUAGGACAGUUUCUCUUCCCCAAGAACUUCCUGACAGGUAUUUGGACAGUACUCAGAUUAAGAAAUUCAAAGAGGUAUCCGAUGCCCUAUUUAUUUUGGGAACUGUUCUCUGAACGUAAUUCUGUGACUAAAUGAGAGCGGCUUCUCUCCCGGACCUGGUGGCCCCAGCCUGCCCCCUCCCCACCCACACCCUGUGUUCCUGUGGCUCUUUGGAAAGAGAGCACAGGCUCAGGAUGGAAGAAUUUCGUUUUUGAGUUAAAUAAGUCCACUCGAAGUUCCAGAGGAGGGGCCUGGCAGAGACCGCGUUCUGAUCAUAGGGGCGUGGGCGAGGAAAACUCUGAUAAGCUCCACGGUGAAGGGGUGAAGGAAUCGGCAGUGGGAGAGCAGAGCGCCAAGGCAAAGGGAACGUUCACUUCACACCCGGGCAGCCCUCCUGUCGGGAGAUUCUGAGACAACGGAACAGACAGACAAUGGGAUUGAGGCCACCUCCGCCCGGAACCACCCUGGACAGCGCCCUUUAGGAAACAAUUGGAGGUGAGGGGAAAGCUCGGGAUAAACCCACGGCUCCAAGCUGCCCACGCAGGCUGACGGAUCCUGGAGGAUACACCCCUCUGAAGAGAAUAGGAGGCAACCAGGAAAAGGAUGAGAAACUAAGUGAAAUUCUAAAUUAGGGUUUCUUCAAAAUGGUGUCAUCACGGCAGGCACAUCAGACCACAAAAGUGAUCAGCACCACUUUCCAGCGCUACCUGGAGAAUCAAAGGGAGCCCUGAACAUAAAGACGGACACGGGCUCCCUUUACGUCCCGCCCAUGCCCAGGCCCCGCUCCCUCCCGCUUUUCCAGCCGCGCCGUGGCAGCUCCCCCAGCCCUCCGUCUCUACCCCGAGUUCAGACGGGCUCAUCCCAGAGGAGACGGGGCCAGGCCCCAAGGCCGCCAGCUGGCUGGUGGGAGCCCGGCUGCCCAGAGGCACAGAGAAAACGGACACCUGCUCAAAACCUCUCCGCCUUCUCCCUUCCCUGUGGUCAAUGCCUGUUUGUCACCUUGUGGAAGAACAGCGUGAACCGUCUUCUAGAUAAGCACAAGAUAUAAAGGUGGAGCCGUGAGCCUGGGAACCACAGGAGACUGGACGGCGGCUACAGAGGGACUCUGUGCCUUCGGGGACAACGGCAUGCUCCUGUGAAGUCUCCUGACGACCCUGCCUCCAUUUCUGGCCUGGGGAGGGAGUUUUCAAGACAACACCGGCCCAUGGCAGGAGAAUGAGGGUGCUGUGGGCAGGCCUGGGCCAGGCCGGCCUCCCUGCACCCCACUGUGUGGGCAGCCACAUCCACAACUGGGCCAAGGCCCAGCUGCCUGAGGGGCACAGGACUUAGGAACCGGACCACAGGGGAAGUUCUCCCUCCAUGUCAGCCAUUUACAGCACAGCACCAUGUGCAUAGCCUUCUGACAGCGCCUUCUCUACUCCCCGCACCGUGGUAAAGAACAGAUACCCAUCCCCUCCCCUGGGAGGAAAAGCCAACACAGACACCUGUCGAAACUUCUCCCACCCUCCAGAGGUAAAACCCUCAGGUUAAAAUGAAAGACACAUCUCACCCCCUCCAAGAAGUCUGUUCAGAUUGCUCCAAUCAGACUGUAUCUUUCCUCUCUUUGCUUUCUAAAACUCAUGGAGGGCAAAGACCAUUCAUCAACAAAUAUGUGUUAUCAUCUUCUAGGAGCCAGGCCUGAGCUGGGGAUACAGCAAUGAGCAAAGACCACCCUGACUUCCCUCAGGACACUGGCCAUCUGAUUUUUCUUCCUAGGUCCGCUCCUCUCACCCAGCCCAGCUCAUACAGUGCCCAGGCAUACAAAAGCCCUCAAAUGUCCCUUUGAGAGCUCCCUAAGCCUCCCCAGAACCUUGACACUGUUCCUCUGGGUCAUCCCAAGCACGGAGAAAGAGAA
This 2544-nucleotide long non-coding RNA is filed under the name Equus caballus (horse). Its description in RNAcentral is "lncRNA (ENSECAG00000051171.1)". The record is from RNAcentral. Lineage: Eukaryota; Metazoa; Chordata; Mammalia; Perissodactyla; Equidae.